GCUGGCGGAAUGCUUUACACAUGCAAGUCGAACGGCAGCAUAGAGAGCUUGCUCUCUGAUGGCGAGUGGCGAACGGGUGAGUAAUAUAUCGGAACGUACCUAGUAAUGGGGAACAACCAGCCGAAAGGUUGGCUAAUACCGCAUACGACCUACGGGUGAAAGCAGGGGAUCUUCGGACCUUGCGUUAUUAGAGCGGCCGAUAUCUGAUUAGGUAGUUGGUGGGGUAAAGGCCUACCAAGCCGACGAUCAGUAGCUGGUCUGAGAGGACGAUCAGCCACACUGGAACUGAGACACGGUCCAGACUCCUACGGGAGGCAGCAGUGGGGAAUUUUGGACAAUGGGGGCAACCCUGAUCCAGCCAUUCCGCGUGAGUGAAGAAGGCCUUCGGGUUGUAAAGCUCUUUCGCAAGAGAAGAAAUCUUACUAUCGAAUAAAUAGUAAGGAUGACGGUAUCUUGACAAGAAGCACCGGCUAACUACGUGCCAGCAGCCGCGGUAAUACGUAGGGUGCGAGCGUUAAUCGGAAUUACUGGGCGUAAAGCGUGCGCAGGCGGUUUUAUAAGUCAGAUGUGAAAUCCCCGAGCUCAACUUGGGAACUGCGUUUGAAACUGUAAGACUAGAGUGUGUCA
RNAcentral lists this ribosomal RNA (627 nucleotides) under uncultured beta proteobacterium. RNAcentral's name for it is "bacterial SSU rRNA". It matches the Rfam family "Bacterial small subunit ribosomal RNA", at positions 35 to 653 of the family's 1533-position model. Lineage: Bacteria; Pseudomonadati; Pseudomonadota; Betaproteobacteria. The record is from RNAcentral.